RNAcentral lists this ribosomal RNA (450 nucleotides) under uncultured bacterium. Its description in RNAcentral is "bacterial SSU rRNA". It matches the Rfam family "Bacterial small subunit ribosomal RNA", at positions 354 to 796 of the family's 1533-position model. The record is from RNAcentral.
GUGGGGAAUUUUUCGCAAUGGGCGCAAGCCUGACGAAGCAACGCCGCGUGGAGGAUGAAGGUCUUCGGAUUGUAAACUCCUGUCGACCGGGACGAAUGCACUCGACCUAAUACGUCGGAAUGUUGACGGUACCGGUGGAGGAAGCCACGGCUAACUCUGUGCCAGCAGCCGCGGUAAUACAGAGGUGGCAAGCGUUGUUCGGAAUUACUGGGCGUAAAGGGCGCGUAGGCGGCCUUGUAAGUCUCGUGUGAAAGCCCUCGGCUUAACUGAGGAUCUGCACGGGAUACUGCGAGGCUUGAGUUCGGGAGAGGAAAGCGGAAUUCCGGGUGUAGCGGUGAAAUGCGUAGAUAUCCGGAGGAACACCAGUGGCGAAGGCGGCUUUCUGGACCGACACUGACGCUGAGGCGCGAAAGCUAGGGGAGCAAACGGGAUUAGAAACCCGGGUAGUCC